RNAcentral lists this transfer RNA (66 nucleotides) under Parasesarma bidens (red claw crab). RNAcentral's name for it is "tRNA-Leu". The record is from RNAcentral. Lineage: Eukaryota; Metazoa; Arthropoda; Malacostraca; Decapoda; Sesarmidae.
AACUAUUUAUAGAAUUUUAUCUAUCUAACAAGAUCCUAAAUCUAGCACAUACUCUGUCAAAAUAGU